RNAcentral lists this ribosomal RNA (492 nucleotides) under uncultured bacterium. RNAcentral describes it as "partial 16S ribosomal RNA". It matches the Rfam family "Bacterial small subunit ribosomal RNA", at positions 29 to 507 of the family's 1533-position model. The record is from RNAcentral.
AGUGAACGCUGGCGGUAGGCCUAACACAUGCAAGUCGAACGGCAGCACAGUAAGAGCUUGCUCGUACGGGUGGCGAGUGGCGGACGGGUGAGGAAUACAUCGUAAUCUACUUUUUCGUGGGGGAUAACGUAGGGAAACUUACGCUAAUACCGCAUACGACCUACGGGUGAAAGCAGGGGAUCUUCGGACCUUGCGCGAGUGAAUGAGCCGAUGUCGGAUGAGCUAGUUGGCGGGGUAAAGGCCCACCAAGGUGACGAUCCGUAGCUGGUCUGAGAGGAUGAUCCGCCAGAUUGGAAGUGAGACACGGUCGAGACUCUGACGGGAGGAAGCAGUGGGGAAUACUGGACGAGGGGGGCAAGCCUGAUCCAGCCAUACCGCGUGGGUGAAGAAGGCCUCAUGGUUGUAAAGCCCUUUUGUUGGGAAAGAAAAGCAGCAGGUUAAUACCACGCUGUUCUGACGGUACCCAAAGAAUAAGCACCGGCUAACUUCGUG